Tephrocybe rancida is the source of this 99-nucleotide non-coding RNA. Lineage: Eukaryota; Fungi; Basidiomycota; Agaricomycetes; Agaricales; Lyophyllaceae. The record is from the annotation of a GenBank genome assembly.
GCAUUAAUGGGGUAGUGGUAACCUGGGUCGUUGCCAUCAUAUUGAAGUCCAAGCUUGAUUUAUGUCGACCCGCCGGGGGUUCGAUUCCCUCUUAAUGCA